GCCACUUUGGAAAACUCCUCCAUUGCUCGGCUCUGCAGAGACUCCAAAGACUGGAUCGCAGGGUGGCUGUUUUCCAGGAAAUUCUGUUGGGUGACACAAAUUACAACAUGAACAUGUCACAUGUUGUUGCAGGUUGGCGUACACUCAUGACAGAAGCAAAGUGGUCCUCAGAGGUAAGUGGGAUCUUCAGACACGCCGCUCUGAUGUCCUGGAUGGUGGCGUGAAGGUCGCUCAGCUCUGUGGUCACCACCCUCUGGUUCACUGGAGAAACAAGAGUAACGGCUUGAAAUUCUGCUUAAAAUGUACUUAGCUUGUUCUGCUGCCUUGAUGGAUUCAGUGCGUCGUACCCUUGGCUGCCAGAGGCACUGUGGUGAGGUCUCUGGAAAAGUUGAGCAGCUCUGGGAAAUGUUGGUGCAGAGACUUAGCCAGAAUGUGGAGGAAGGUUAAUUUCCCAUCCACAGUUUUGGUCGUGCUGAGCUAGCAGAAGCAAUAAAACGAUUAGACAGGAUAGAUCGAUCCAAACUCCGGAGAGAUGAAAGAUGAGCCCGUCCGUACCUCGGUGAGGAAGUUGAUCUUAAAACUGGUCGUCCUGUGGCUCUUGGGUUGGCCGUUGUUGAGGUAAUUCCCCAUUGCAAGUACAAACUGUUCAAUAGAGAGAGCUCGUAAGCAUUAAAGUGUGUCAAAUAGAACAGAUCUAUUGUAAGACUUUAUUAGUUCCACAACGGGAACGUUCUGUUUUUACAGCAGCGAAGUGGACAGGAUCAGUACAAAAGAAUAAUAACACAGUAAUCCGACGAGAAAACUCCUGCAAAAGACAAAACGCGUGACGUGUAUAAGUGUAAUGUAUACAUUUCAUAUAGGCAAAGACAGGCACUUUGCUGGCUAAACCGUGAGACAAUGUGCCUCUAAACAACAGCCUCGGCGUUAUAGGCAACGCAAAGCCUCAUGGUGCUUGCUGCUGCUUCCCAGAAUCCCUUGCUGUGCUCUUUUCAACUACAGCUUGUCCAAAAUCAAGCUCUCUUUACUUGCAUUUGUUCCAUAUGCUCCCUAAUGGGUCCUACUCCUUGUACUGUCCAUGACAGUAUACAUAUGGAUAAAUAAUAUACUGUAUGAAGAGAAUACUAUACUAUAUUAUUCAUACAUAUAUGCACAUGUCAAUGUGAACAAAUAGGAGUAAGCAUAGGCAGCAGCAUUAUAUUGUGUGUGCGUGUAGUUUUACAUGAAUGGAAGAACGUGUGAUGGUUUUCACCUCGAGGAUUUUGGCCAGUUUCUUGCUGGUCUUCAGCUCCACGGACGCCUUGUAGAUGUAAUCAAAGGCCACCUUCAACUCCUCCGUCCUCUCCUGCAGCGUGGUCUUAAAGUGGAGGCUCCUAAGGCGGGUCUUGUACUCAGGUACCAUCAGCAUCUGGACCAGGGCACCGCUCGUGUUGCAUCGAUUCCAAAAAUGUUUUCAUGUUAGCGUUAGGUAGUAGUUACCUGGAAAAUAAAGUGGUCAGGCUCGCUCAGUUUGGCCGGGUCCUGGUCGAACUGCUCGUAUUUUUUGACCUCGUCCUCGUCGGGGGCGUAGAGCAGCAGCUGCUUGAUGUGGGCGGGCUCCAGCCUGUCCGUGGUCAUGUCCAUCAGGACCUGGCGAAGCUCGUCGGGGGAGAGCUUCAGAUGGGCGAUGAGGAUGGCUGUGAGAAGGAGUCGGUUGACAAUUCAAUGGAGGGUUGGCAAUCAUACAUGUAAGAAUGACGGCUUGUUAAUGGUGGAAGCCUCGGGGAAGUUCUUCCAGUCUCGAGGCGAAAAUGAGCAGGAGUCCCUCGGUCGCCAUGGCAACUAUUAGGGCUGUUGAUCACUCACAUUAUGGAGCGCUAAAAUAGCUGGCUACAGCCAUCACUAAUACCAAUAAGCUUUCAAAAGCACUGUAACUAACCAAAGCAAUACAACAAACAGCUGUGCCUUCUGCUAUCGCCAUGGCAACAUAUGGCUUCCAUUGGCAACUUUUUGAAUACACCAACUUUAUCAGGUACACGCACGUAUUCUAAUGAUAGUCAAAAAAAGAGACACAUCAUGUUAUAUUAUUAUGUCCAAUACGUAUACCCACAUGGUUCAUAUUAAAAUUAUGAUUCAAUACACUGAAAGGUUUGUCUAUUAUUAAGCAAGCAGUAAACAGGCAGUGCAGUAGUAGAAGUCAAAACAUUAUAAACACCUUUUAUUAUCAUGCAGUGCAGUUCCACAGCAAUAAACAAUGUUAUUAUCUUUGCAGCACAGCUCUUGUAUUGGAUGUACUGGAUCAGUAGAGGAAAAAAAAAAAUCCCAGUAAAUGUGGACGGAGUCUAACCAAGCAGGAUAUCUUUCAUGUAUGUUAAUUGUUUUCUUUUGCAGAAGGCUUCACUCACAGGCAUUGUAGGCUUUCUUGUGAGACAGAAUCUCCACAAUGUCUUUCUUUUUAAAGUUCUCGGGCAGGAAGGUCGGCUCUGGUGGAGACACUGGUAAUUAAACAACAGUGUGAGGAUGAGUUCUCCAGGCAGCGGGGAUCGAUAAGACACACACAGUAACACAGACACACACAUUCCAGGAUGAUAAAUUAAUAACACAGUUCUGUCGCGUGACACUCUUGAGGCCAAGGUUCACUGACUGAUGAAUAGGAUUCGUCUUUUUUGUGGCAGAACUGUGUUAUCGGUGAACUCAAGGCGGGCGAAAGCGGUGCCUUAUGGAGAGUGGAUUUGAAGACAAGGUGAAUGAAGCAGGCAUCAUCUACGUGACUGAUAUGACUGUAAAAGUACAGGCAAAACAAGAAUUUAACUUGAAGAAAGAAGUGAUCAACAAUACACACAAUGUGUUCAAAUAGUGUGAGAGGCAACUGCGAUGAGAUGAUGACGACAAUCCAGAAAGAUGAGAGGACAUCCACAACAACUUACUGGAUCUGCGUUGAGUACCAAAGUGGAGAUCAAGGUCCAAAUAUUUCACCAUGUCGGUGAGCUUGUCGUAGUCGGAAUCCUCUCCGAGCUGAACAAAGAGAGGGACACGUUGUACUCUUCAGUGGGAAUAUUCGUACAAAUGCUCAGCAUGAGUGUGACCUUUGCGAGGGUACAAGCUGCUCUUGUCUUUUAAUUUUGUUUGACAAACACGUGCUUGUUGUGAAGCUGCCGUGACUCAUCAGAGGCAAGUCAUGUAGGCGAGUUUGGAAUAAAGAACUCUUCACUGUAAAAUAUCUGUGUGUGAGUGCGAGUGUGUUGUAUUCUAGCAUGCGGGAAGA
Molecule: long non-coding RNA, 3241 nt
Organism: Phyllopteryx taeniolatus (common seadragon)
Lineage: Eukaryota; Metazoa; Chordata; Actinopteri; Syngnathiformes; Syngnathidae
Exons: 3
Source: RefSeq, a predicted model, not a curated record